This 301-nucleotide ribosomal RNA is filed under the name uncultured bacterium. RNAcentral's name for it is "partial 16S ribosomal RNA". It matches the Rfam family "Bacterial small subunit ribosomal RNA", at positions 509 to 809 of the family's 1533-position model. The record is from RNAcentral.
CAGUCGCCGCGGGAAUACGUAGGGUGCAAGCGUUAAUCGGAAUUACUGGGCGUAAAGCGUGCGCAGGCGGUUAUAUAAGACAGAUGUGAAAUCCCCGGGCUCAACCUGGGAACUGCAUUUGUGACUGUAUAGCUAGAGUACGGCAGAGGGGGAUGGAAUUCCGCGUGUAGCAGUGAAAUGCGUAGAUAUGCGGAGGAACACCGAUGGCGAAGGCAAUCCCCUGGGCCUGUACUGACGCUCAUGCACGAAAGCGUGGGGAGCAAACAGGAUUAGAUACCCCGGUAGUCCUGUCUCUUAUACA